GACGAACCGUGCGAACGUUGUUCGGAAUCACUGGGCUUAAAGGGCGCGUAGGCGGGCGAUCAAGUCAGGGGUGAAAUCCUGCGGCUUAACCGUAGAAGAGCCUUUGAUACUGGUUGUCUAGAGGGAGAUAGGGGCAUGUGGAACUUCCGGUGGAGCGGUGAAAUGCGUAGAUAUCGGAAGGAACGCCGGUGGCGAAAGCGACGUGCUGGAUCUCUUCUGACGCUGAGGCGCGAAAGCUAGGGGAGCAAACGGG
RNAcentral lists this ribosomal RNA (253 nucleotides) under uncultured bacterium. RNAcentral describes it as "partial 16S ribosomal RNA". It matches the Rfam family "Bacterial small subunit ribosomal RNA", at positions 524 to 776 of the family's 1533-position model. The record is from RNAcentral.